CCUACGGGUGGCUGCAGUGGGGGAUAUUGCACAAUGGGGGAAACCCUGAUGCAGCGACGCCGCGUGGGUGAAGAAGCGCCUCGGCGCGUAAAGCCCUGUCAGCGGGGAAGAAAGUGACGGUAACUGAAGGAGAAGCCCCGGCUAACUACGUGCCAGCAGCCGCGGUAUUACUUAGGGGGCAAGCGUUAUCCGGAUUUACUGGGUGUAAGGGUGUCGCGGACGGUGUUGCAAGCAAGGAGUGAAAGCCCGGGGCCCAACCCCGGGACUGCUCUUGGAACUGCGUGGCUAGAGUGCAGGAGUGGCAGGCGGAAUUCCUGGUGUAGCGGUGAAAUGCGUAGAUAUCAGGAGGAACACCGGUGGCGAAGGCGGCCUGCUGGACUGCAACUGACGUUGAGGCCCGAAAGCGUGGGGAGCAAACAGGAUUAGAUACCCCGGUAGUC
This 440-nucleotide ribosomal RNA is filed under the name uncultured bacterium. RNAcentral's name for it is "partial 16S ribosomal RNA". It matches the Rfam family "Bacterial small subunit ribosomal RNA", at positions 338 to 795 of the family's 1533-position model. The record is from RNAcentral.